UACGUAGGGGGCAAGCGUUGUCCGGAAUCAUUGGGCGUAAAGCGCGUGUAGGCGGCCCGGUAAGUCCGCUGUGAAAGUCGGGGGCUCAACCCUCGAAUGCCGGUGGAUACUGUCGGGCUAGAGUGCGGAAGAGGCGAGUGGAAUUCCUGGUGUAGCGGUGAAAUGCGCAGAUAUCAGGAGGAACACCAAUAGCGAAGGCAGCUCGCUGGGACGUUACUGACACUGAGGCGCGAAAGCGUGGGGAGCGAACAGG
RNAcentral lists this ribosomal RNA (253 nucleotides) under uncultured bacterium. RNAcentral's name for it is "partial 16S ribosomal RNA". It matches the Rfam family "Bacterial small subunit ribosomal RNA", at positions 524 to 776 of the family's 1533-position model. The record is from RNAcentral.